This is a long non-coding RNA of Tyto alba (common barn owl), 1303 nucleotides long. RefSeq lists it as uncharacterized. The transcript is spliced from 6 exons. The record is from RefSeq and is a predicted model, not a curated record. Lineage: Eukaryota; Metazoa; Chordata; Aves; Strigiformes; Tytonidae.
AGUAAGGCGAAUGGCAAGAUGAGGGGGGCAGGGGUAGGAAAGGCACAGCUACAGGAUGAGAAGGCUGGGUCCAGUGGCUGGGGGUCUGGGAAGGAUUGGGAGGGGCUGAUCUAAGGGAUGUGCUGGAUGAGUUUCAGAAAAACUGGUGAAGAGCAAGCUGGACGGUGGUACUAUGUGGGCAAGCAGGGGGAAAGACAAGGCACACGGUGGUCCCGCUGUGGGUUACGUGAGAACUUGUGGACGGCUGCGUGAGUUCACGCAUUCCUAGCGUGAGGAAGAGCGAUACGUUGUUGGGACACUAGCGGGGUUUGGUGACUUUGUCAGCAUCCUUUGGUGGAAAUGUUGAAGGCCGUCCGCUUUCUGCUUAGGCUCAGUUCCUGUAUUGCUUUUGAGUGGUUUGAGUUCACUGAACCUUUUUGUAAGCAUCAGUUGCAUUAUUCUGAUGUUUUCAUUUUAUAAAUAAAAUCGCAGUUCAGUAUAAAAUGAAAAUAAUCUGCAAUAUUUUGAUUUUAAAUUUCUGCGCCUUACUUUCCUUGAAACUGGGUUUUCCGAUACGGUGUUAGAAGACGUUACAGAAUUCCGAGUGUUAUUUCUGCGUCUUGCUACUUAACCUUUGGCGUCCUGGGGAAAAACACUGUUGAGAUUACACCUGAGGGCAGAAGAAUCACAAAGCUAGACCAGACUUUGCUAAAUGGAAAUAACAUAACAAUGGUGUGCAAGGGGAUCACUGUCUUUGUUACCCACUCCAUAGGCUGGUUCAUACUGUGGCUUCUACCUCAGGAGCAUUUGCCUGCAUGAGUAUGAAGGUGGAAAACAUCUACGUUUCUUCCGUUAUUGCUGAAUUCUGCAACUUCCUAAAUACCCCAAAAGCAGACUGAUGGUAGUUUUUGCUUGCCUGCAUAGAUGGCUACAAAGUCUGGACUUUCUACAGAAGGGCAUUCCUAAUUUUGUGGGGAGAGAAGAGGAAGACUGACUUGAGUUGAAGUCUGCUCUGUGUGAAUGAGCUGUUUCCUGGAGGAGAAGGACCUGAAGUAUAAAUUGAUGCAGUUGUCAUCUAUGAAGAUGUGUUUUAUCUAUAUAUACACACGUAUAAUCUAAAUAGACCUUUUCCAUUAUGGGUGUGGGUUGUUUGUGUGUGUGUUUUGUUUAUGCACUCUUGCAGUUGACAUUUGGUAAAAGACAGGGAUUUCGUCUUCAGGAAAGGUGCAUUGGUAGUAAUAAUGCUGACUGUAAGUUGAAAUCAUAGUGGCUUUCUUGUAAAGAUGCACUGAUCUGCCCUGAAUAAAAGGCUUUCUUUUUGUUA